This 507-nucleotide ribosomal RNA is filed under the name uncultured bacterium. Its description in RNAcentral is "partial 16S ribosomal RNA". The record is from RNAcentral.
GGAGUUAGCCGGUGCUUCUUCUGUGAGUGAUGUCCUUCCUGCCGGCUAUUAACCCGCAGGCCUUCUUCCUCACUGAAAGUGCUUUACAACCCGAAGGCCUUCUUCACACACGCGGCAUGGCUGGAUCAGGGUUGCCCCCAUUGUCCAAUAUUCCCCACUGCUGCCUCCCGUAGGAGUCUGGGCCGUGUCUCAGUCCCAGUGUGGCUGAUCAUCCUCUCAGACCAGCUACGGAUCGUCGCCUUGGUGAGCCGUUACCUCACCAACCAGCUAAUCCGACAUAGGCUCAUCCGAUAGCGCGAGGCCCGAAGGUCCCCCGCUUUCCCCCGUAGGGCGUAUGCGGUAUUAGCCUGGGUUUCCCCAGGUUAUCCCCCACUACCGGGCAGAUUCCUAUGCAUUACUCACCCGUCCGCCGCUCGCCACCAGGGAGCAAGCUCCCCGUGCUGCCGCUCGACUUGCAUGUGUUAGGCCUGCCGCCAGCGUUCAAUCUAAGCCAUGAUCAAACUCUGA